RNAcentral lists this long non-coding RNA (512 nucleotides) under Erythranthe guttata (spotted monkey flower). Its description in RNAcentral is "long non-coding RNA (EGUT_LNC001450)". The record is from RNAcentral. Lineage: Eukaryota; Viridiplantae; Streptophyta; Magnoliopsida; Lamiales; Phrymaceae.
UUUAGCUGGGCAAGAUUUUAAUCUUCCAAGAAAUAUAGUAUGUUACAAUAUCAAAAUCCGAAACCCGAAAUCCGUUUAUAAAAAAAAAAAAAAAAAAAAAAACAAAAACAAAACCCUAAGCGACGGCAAGCCUCCACCGCCUCCUGGGCGCCGCCACGGGCAAGCGCUGCAACCGGAGAUCGGUCUGUAUAACGGGAGCAGCGGAUCAACCUCUAGAACGGAAGCAAAGGGAUCAGGAGCUUUUGGUACUUCCCGUCUCACGGAGUGCGAUGGUGGAUCUUCUAGUUUUCACAAUUACUGAUGGAAAAAGUAGGAGGUUUAUGCUCAUAAAUAACUAAUGCCUAAAAACAUUUUUCGUUCAGUGUCUAUAUGUUUUUUAUUAGUGUGCACUAUCUACUUUUAAGUUUCUCUUAAAGUCACUCCGUAACUACCUGAAUUGACUUGUUUGUUCUUCGAUAAUUGAUUUUAUAUUUCUUUUUUCUUCUAUGUAUUUUUAAACUUAUAACCAAACG